GAUGAACGCUGGCGGCGUGCCUAAUACAUGCAAGUCGAGCGAACAGACGAGGAGCUUGCUCCUCUGACGUUAGCGGCGGACGGGUGAGUAACACGUGGAUAACCUACCUAUAAGACUGGGAUAACUUCGGGAAACCGGAGCUAAUACCGGAUAAUAUAUUGAACCGCAUGGUUCAAUAGUGAAAGACGGUUUUGCUGUCACUUAUAGAUGGAUCCUCGCCGCAUUAGCUAGUUGGUAAGGUAACGGCUUACCAAGGCAACGAUUCGUAGCCGACCUGAGAGGGGGAUUCGGCAAAACGGAAAUGAGACAAGGGCCAGAAUCCUAAGGGAGGCAGGAGUAGGGAAACCUCCGCAAUGGGCGGAAGCCUGAAGGAGCAAAGGCGGGGGAGGGAAGAAGGUCUUCGGAUUGUAAAACCCUGUUAUUAGGGAAAAAAAAAAGGGUAAAGAAACAAGCAAGGUUUGAAGGGAACUAAUCAGAAAGCCACGGCUAACUACGUG
Molecule: ribosomal RNA, 497 nt
Filed under: uncultured bacterium
Lineage: Bacteria
Description: partial 16S ribosomal RNA
Rfam family: Bacterial small subunit ribosomal RNA
Source: RNAcentral